This 675-nucleotide ribosomal RNA is filed under the name uncultured Gammaproteobacteria bacterium. Its description in RNAcentral is "bacterial SSU rRNA". It matches the Rfam family "Bacterial small subunit ribosomal RNA", at positions 43 to 714 of the family's 1533-position model. Lineage: Bacteria; Pseudomonadati; Pseudomonadota; Gammaproteobacteria. The record is from RNAcentral.
CAGGCCUAACACAUGCAAGUCGAACGCGAAAGCUCCUUCGGGAGUGAGUAGAGUGGCGAACGGGUGAGUAAUACGUAGGAAUCUACCCAAGAGUGGGGGAUAACCCGGGGAAACUCGGGCUAAUACCGCAUACGCCCUACGGGGUAAAGCGGGGGACCUUCGGGCCUCGCGCUUUUGGAUGAGCCUACGGCGGAUUAGCUUGUUGGUAGGGUAACGGCCUACCAAGGCGACGAUCCGUAGCUGGUCUGAGAGGAUGAUCAGCCACACUGGGACUGAGACACGGCCCAGACUCCUACGGGAGGCAGCAGUGGGGAAUAUUGGACAAUGGGGGCAACCCUGAUCCAGCCAUGCCGCGUGUGUGAAGAAGGCCUUCGGGUUGUAAAGCACUUUCAGCAGGGAAGAAAAGCCCGGGACUAAUACUCCCGUGUCUUGACGGUACCUGCAUAAGAAGCACCGGCUAACUCCGUGCCAGCGGCCGCGGUAAUACGGAGGGUGCAAGCGUUAAUCGGAAUUACUGGGCGUAAAGCGCGCGUAGGUGGUUUGGUAAGUCGGGUGUGAAAGCCCCGGGCUCAACCUGGGAAUUGCAUUCGAUACUGCCUGACUAGAGUGUGGUAGAGGGAAGUGGAAUUCCGCAUGUAGCGGUGAAAUGCGUAGAGAUGCGGAGGAACACCAAUG